UGGCCUGUGGUGUAAUGGUAACACAGAAGUUUUUGGUACUUUUAUUCAGGGUUCGAGUCCUUGCGGGCCAA
Molecule: transfer RNA, 71 nt
Filed under: Emticicia sp. CRIBPO
Lineage: Bacteria; Pseudomonadati; Bacteroidota; Cytophagia; Cytophagales; Leadbetterellaceae
Description: tRNA-Gln
Rfam family: tRNA
About the family: Transfer RNA (tRNA) molecules are approximately 80 nucleotides in length. Their secondary structure includes four short double-helical elements and three loops (D, anti-codon, and T loops). Further hydrogen bonds mediate the characteristic L-shaped molecular structure. tRNAs have two regions of fundamental functional importance: the anti-codon, which is responsible for specific mRNA codon recognition, and the 3' end, to which the tRNAs corresponding amino acid is attached (by aminoacyl-tRNA synthetases). tRNAs cope with the degeneracy of the genetic code in two manners: having more than one tRNA (with a specific anti-codon) for a particular amino acid; and 'wobble' base-pairing, i.e. permitting non-standard base-pairing at the 3rd anti-codon position.
Source: RNAcentral